Molecule: ribosomal RNA, 253 nt
Filed under: uncultured bacterium
Lineage: Bacteria
Description: partial 16S ribosomal RNA
Rfam family: Bacterial small subunit ribosomal RNA
Source: RNAcentral
UACGGAGGGUGCAAGCGUUGCUCGGAAUUAUUGGGCGUAAAGGGUAGGUAGGUGGUCUCAUUUGUCUGGGGUGAAAGCCUUGAGCUUAACUCAAGAAGUGCCCCAGAAACGGUGAGACUAGAGUUCUGGAGAGGGUCGUGGAAUUCCCGGUGUAGCGGUGAAAUGCGUAGAGAUCGGGAGGAACACCAGAGGCGAAGGCGGGUCUCUGGACAGUUACUGACGCUGAGGCACGAAGGCCAGGGGAGCAAACGGG